This is a non-coding RNA of Xylona heveae TC161, 108 nucleotides long. The record is from Rfam. Lineage: Eukaryota; Fungi; Ascomycota; Xylonomycetes; Xylonales; Xylonaceae.
GGGAGGAUGGCCGAGUGGUUAAGGCGCUGUGUUUAGGUUAAGUCUUUCAAGAGACUGUGAUCUGAUCCGCAGUGGGAAACCGCGCGAGUUCGAACCUCGCUCCUCUCA